This is a long non-coding RNA of Onychostoma macrolepis, 602 nucleotides long. RefSeq lists it as uncharacterized. The transcript is spliced from 3 exons. NCBI's taxonomy places the organism in Eukaryota, Metazoa, Chordata, Actinopteri, Cypriniformes, Cyprinidae. The record is from RefSeq and is a predicted model, not a curated record.
AAUGCACAGCUAGCCGUUGAUUAUCCAUUACUUAAAGUGGACAUAAACACACACAAAACUCAAGUACAUACGGAGGGAGGGGUUCUAGCAGGCCAAUCACAGCGCUUGCGUUCGCUGUUAGAAUUUUGGAGAUGUGCAUCCCAGGCUACGGACAAUGGCGGAUCAUGGAGCUGUUCAAUACUUCCCGGAAGUUAGCGCUCAUACUAUCAGCGCCAUAGAGAUGCAGCAGAAGAGACCGCUGUGAUGAAAUUUUAAAAGAACAAGAACCACCUGAAGACUCCCUGUAAUGAGAUAUCACCCUCACAAUGAGUCUAUUCAUUGGGUUUGGCAAGUGUUUCCCUGUUCUUUGUAAAAAAGUACCAGUUCCCAAGUAUGAUUACAUCACAUUUUGUUGGUGUAAUCUAUAGAUUGCUCCUGCUGACUAUAUCAAGCCUCUUAUGAAGACUUCAGAUGACCCAGCACCUGUGAAGAGAUGACGCCCUUGAGAGAACUUCAGAUAAAGCUGACUCUGACUCUGAAUAAACAUACACAACUGCUAAAUUGUCCUUUAAUUCUAAUCAACAUGAUCAAAUCAUGUAACCAUUGCUUUAAUUUGUUCAUUG